AAUCCAUGUUGAGGGCAGCGUCGAAUCUUUAUACCUUUCCCAUGCUUCAUAGAGUGACUCAAAAUCAUUUUGCUUGAAUUGACCAAUCUCACUUUUGAGUUA
Carya illinoinensis is the source of this 102-nucleotide small nucleolar RNA. Lineage: Eukaryota; Viridiplantae; Streptophyta; Magnoliopsida; Fagales; Juglandaceae. The record is from RefSeq and is a predicted model, not a curated record.